This 75-nucleotide transfer RNA is filed under the name Latreillia valida. RNAcentral's name for it is "tRNA-Val". It matches the Rfam family "tRNA". From Rfam's summary of the family: Transfer RNA (tRNA) molecules are approximately 80 nucleotides in length. Their secondary structure includes four short double-helical elements and three loops (D, anti-codon, and T loops). Lineage: Eukaryota; Metazoa; Arthropoda; Malacostraca; Decapoda; Latreilliidae. The record is from RNAcentral.
UCGAAGUAUAGUUUAGUAGAAAAACAUCUCACUUACAUUGAGUAAAUUUAUCGUGCAAAUCGAUUAUAUUUUGAA